RNAcentral lists this ribosomal RNA (253 nucleotides) under uncultured bacterium. RNAcentral describes it as "partial 16S ribosomal RNA". It matches the Rfam family "Bacterial small subunit ribosomal RNA", at positions 524 to 776 of the family's 1533-position model. The record is from RNAcentral.
UACAGAGGUCUCAAGCGUUGUUCGGAUUCAUUGGGCGUAAAGGGUGCGUAGGUGGCGCCGUAAGUCGGGUGUGAAAUUUCGGAGCUUAACUCCGAAACUGCAUUCGAUACUGCGGUGCUUGAGGACUGGAGAGGAGACUGGAAUUUACGGUGUAGCGGUGAAAUGCGUAGAUAUCGUAAGGAAGACCAGUGGCGAAGGCGGGUCUCUGGACAGUUCCUGACGCUGAGGUGCGAAAGCGUGGGGAGCAAACAGG